GGGACUAUAGUCCAGCGGUUAGAACACUUGGUUGCACAAGCCCAAGAGGGGAAGGACCUGGGUUCGAAUCCCACGUAUAACCU
Molecule: non-coding RNA, 83 nt
Organism: Melampsora americana
Lineage: Eukaryota; Fungi; Basidiomycota; Pucciniomycetes; Pucciniales; Melampsoraceae
Source: the annotation of a GenBank genome assembly